This 306-nucleotide unclassified non-coding RNA is filed under the name plant metagenome. RNAcentral describes it as "partial contains 5.8S ribosomal RNA, internal transcribed spacer 2, and large subunit ribosomal RNA". The stretch from base 1 to 105 matches the Rfam family "5.8S ribosomal RNA", at positions 50 to 154 of the family's 154-position model. The record is from RNAcentral.
GAAAUGCGAUAAGUAAUGUGAAUUGCAGAAUUCAGUGAAUCAUCGAAUCUUUGAACGCACAUUGCGCCCGCCAGUAUUCUGGCGGGCAUGCCUGUCCGAGCGUCAUUUCAACCAUCAAGCCCCCGGGCUUGUGUUGGGGACCUGCGGCUGCCCGCAGGCCCUGAAAACCAGUGGCGGGCUCGCUGUCACACCGAGCGUAGUAGCAAUCACCUCGCUCAGGGCGUGCUGCGGGUUCCGGCCGUUAAACAGCCUUACAAAACCCAAGGUUGACCUCGGAUCAGGUAGGAAGACCCGCUGAACUUAAGU